Panicum hallii is the source of this 724-nucleotide long non-coding RNA. RefSeq lists it as uncharacterized. The record is from RefSeq and is a predicted model, not a curated record. NCBI's taxonomy places the organism in Eukaryota, Viridiplantae, Streptophyta, Magnoliopsida, Poales, Poaceae. The transcript has 3 exons.
UGGACCACUGCAGGCCAUGCUCGUUCUCAGAUGACAGGCAGGAGCUCGGGGAUGACUCCUCGUCAGCCAUCGUCCUCCUGGAGGAGUCUCCAGUUGCCGGAAGUGAGAGGUUCAGCUUCAGGUCAAGGCCCCUAGAGCUCUUCCUGUUGCUGCGACUCAUCCUGGAUGGGUGAUGAAGCGCUGGAUGUGAGCAGAUGUAGAUGAGAGCGAUGUGUGAUGCUCUUAGAGGAGAGGACUCUGAGCUUUAGAAUGCUCAGAGGUGUUGGUGGUGCUGUUGGAGAAGAGAUGGAUGGUAUUUAUAGUGGGAGAAGGAUGGGAGGUCAAUUGGUUUUCUUUAAUGUGACAGUAAGAGGUGGAAGGCACGGAGUUGAAUGCAACUUCAGCCCAACUACGGAGGCAAGGGGGGUUGACCUGAAUGUGGGCUCAUAACUGUGGCACUAGGUUACUUAGUACAGGAUAUAAUUUAAAAUGAUUUUGCAUGUAUAAAUUGUGAUUAGUCGGUGUUUUGGGUCAAUCCCAUGUGCCCUUCUUUAAAUUCAUAGAGCAGUCUAAUGCGUUGAUUAAAGCUUACCAGAGGAAAAAAGAAAAGUCCCAUGCGUCAGUCAUGCUAUUGGGGUUUCACCUGUUGCAACUGGUAGCACUGUUUUUUGUUGAUUGAGAAAUUAGCAGAGCGGGAUGGAUCAAAUUCUGAGUAAACGUAUUCGGACGAAGUAUGAUUUCUCCA